RNAcentral lists this transfer RNA (73 nucleotides) under Camelus bactrianus (Bactrian camel). It matches the Rfam family "tRNA". Rfam says of the family: Transfer RNA (tRNA) molecules are approximately 80 nucleotides in length. Lineage: Eukaryota; Metazoa; Chordata; Mammalia; Artiodactyla; Camelidae. The record is from Rfam by way of RNAcentral. RNAcentral also lists the same sequence under 1 other name.
GAGGGUAUAGCUUAAGCAGGAGAGCGCGUGCUUAGCAUUCAUGAGGUCCUGGGUUCAAUCCCCAGUAUCUCCU